UUUGAUUUAUGGAAAUACUCAACACAUAAUGUGUGUGUCUAUAUUAUAUAUAUAUAUAUAUAUAUAUAUAUAUAUAUAUAUAUAUAAUGUUUAUAUGUAUGUAUAUAUAAGGAAAAGUGAAUAUGGGGCUGUUAUCCCCCUAACAUUUGGUGUGGAAUCCAUCAAACUAUGUUGUAUUGAUAAAAAAAUAAAACCUUUAAUUUAUUCUUGUUACAUAAGUACUAAAGUACAUAACAAAUCAAAUUCCUAAAUUUUUUUUUCCUUUCAAAACUGUACAUGCGAUUGGUGCUCACCGAUUGUGCGACCAUCGAAAUUCCAUCUUUGGCCUCUUUUACCACUAGCCAUAAUUCCAUCAUCAUCACACUUUUGGAUAAGCAUGCCAAUUAUAAAUUUGUUAAGUGCAGCAGCACCACAACAAGGGAGCGCUCUUAGUAGUGUGGAAUUCUGGAUGUGUGUCAAUAGGGUGUAGAAUGUAUAACAAGCACCAGGGAGUAUAACAUUGGCCCAACAGUAACCAGUAAGAGCUGCCAGUUAAAUUUACACAACAAUAUGAUAUAUAAUGUAUGAGGAGCCAUUUUUUGCCUUAAAAUACCCAAAAGUUGUCAACAAAAGGGACUCCAAAAUACACAAAAUGAACCAUUCACACACUAUUCAGCCUACUUAAAUUCAGUAUGUUUUCUUCAAUGUUUUUUUUUACCGAUCUUAAGUUUAACCUUCUUAAGUUCAAAUCAGGAAGGGAAUUAGAAUCCAUUUGGUGAUGAAUAUAUUGCCGGCACAUCAACCAAUUAUAAACAGGUGUGGUCGAUACUAGAAGAUGUUGCCUGCAAACCUUCAACGAAUACAACAACCAAAUCUGGCGAGUGUCAGUUUAGGUGAAAGAAGAGGCAUCAAGACUGACAGAAUCACGUGUUGCCAAACUUGGAUAUUUUUAUUUAUCACACAUAUUUUUUUGUCUAUUCGAUAUCAGUAGCCAAACUUGGAAAAAUUAGGUGAAACAAAUGAGUAAGAUAAAGGUUCUAAUUUUUUUCUUCAAAACGACAUAGUUUGAUGGGUUCCACACCUAAUGCUAGGUGUAUAACAGCCCCAUAGUCACUUUCCCCAUAUAUAUAUAUAUAUAUACAUAUCUGUAUACAUAUCCAUAUGUAAAUGUAUAUAUUUGUGUGUGUGUGU
Molecule: non-coding RNA, 1170 nt
Organism: Lactuca sativa (garden lettuce)
Lineage: Eukaryota; Viridiplantae; Streptophyta; Magnoliopsida; Asterales; Asteraceae
Source: RefSeq, a predicted model, not a curated record